GAUAAACGCUGGCGGCGUGCCUAAAACAUGCAAGUCGAACGGAUCUUGUCCUUCGGGGCGAGGUUAGUGGCGGACGGCUGAGUAACACGUGGGUGACCUGCCCUCGAGCGGGGGAUAACUGCCCGAAAGGGUGGCUAAUACCGCAGAUGUCGCGGCUUCGGUGUCGUGACUGAACCUGAGGGGUUCGGGGAGGGGCCCGCGGUCGAUUAGCUAGCUGGUGGGGUAACGGCCUACCAGGGCGACGAUCGAUAGCUGGUCUGAGAGGAUGAUCAGCCAGACUGGGACUGCGAACGGCCCAGACUCCUACGGGAGGCAGCAGUUAGGAAUUUUGGGCAAUGGGCGAAAGCCUGACCCAGCAACGCCGCGUGGGUGAUGAAGGCCCUCGGGUCGUAAAGCCCUUUUCCCAGGGACGAUAGUGACGGUACCUGGGGAAUCAGCCCCGGCUAACUACGUGCCAGCAGCCGCCGUAACAC
This 473-nucleotide ribosomal RNA is filed under the name uncultured bacterium. RNAcentral's name for it is "bacterial SSU rRNA". It matches the Rfam family "Bacterial small subunit ribosomal RNA", at positions 28 to 526 of the family's 1533-position model. The record is from RNAcentral.